Molecule: long non-coding RNA, 770 nt
Organism: Solea senegalensis (Senegalese sole)
Lineage: Eukaryota; Metazoa; Chordata; Actinopteri; Pleuronectiformes; Soleidae
Exons: 2
Source: RefSeq, a predicted model, not a curated record
GUAAAGCUAUUUCAGCUGUUGUUGUUUUAAAGUGCUUUAUAAAUAAAGUUAAUUGUAUUUAACCAACAUUUACUGCGUAAUAUUUCAAAGUGCCACAUUUAUAACCUGUUUAUUUGCUGUGAAAGAUUUUAUUUUUGCUGCUUUAUAUAAACCACCAUGUACAACGUUUUAUAAUUACGUGGAUAUUUAUUUUGUUGAUCAACACUGACACCUUGUGGCCAAUGAACUGUAUGACAUCAGUUUGUUUGUCCCCAAGGCAACAGCAGAGACAAAGGAAAAUGAGUCCCGGGUGGUGUGGCUUCGAUUGUAGGGCAGACAACAAUAAUAAUAAUAAUAAUAAUAAUAAUGAUAAUGAUAAUUUAAUCGUAUGAUUGAUUCAGAUUUCACACACUCAGACAACGUUAUUGAUCCCAGAAGGUUUUCAGUUUGGAUCAGUUAGGUAAUUCAGUAUGAUGUCCACCUUAACUGCUGAAACACAGAGCUGUAAACUCUUGACACCUGCUUCGACUCGAGCCUUCCUGCCUCGUCAGGAACAUGGAGGGCCGCCGCCUCGCUCUGUUACGACAGGACUGUGAGUUAACUGCCGUCGGAUGACAACAUGAAUCUUCUGAGGGGGAACAAAGUGAACCAGAAGUGUCAGAGAUGUGUCUGAACAUUUCUCAGAGUGUCUCCGUGUCCUCUGUGAACCUGGAAGAUGUAAGAAGGGAGGAGAUCGCAUCCACAUACCUGACAGGCAAAUACCUGUAAAAUAAAAAAUACGAUGUACAGAA